This 257-nucleotide ribosomal RNA is filed under the name uncultured soil bacterium. Its description in RNAcentral is "partial 16S ribosomal RNA". It matches the Rfam family "Bacterial small subunit ribosomal RNA", at positions 26 to 275 of the family's 1533-position model. The record is from RNAcentral.
AGAGUGAACGCUGGCGGUAGGCCUAACACAUGCAAGUCGAACGGCAGCACGGUAAGAGCUUGCUCUUAUGGGUGGCGAGUGGCGGACGGGUGAGGAAUACAUCGGAAUCUACCUUUUGGUGGGGGAUAACGUAGGGAAACUUACGCUAAUACCGCAUACGCCCUUCGGGGGAAAGCCGGGGACCAGCAAUGGCCUGGUGCUGAUAGAUGAGCCGAUGUCGGAUUAGCUAGUUGGUGAGGUAAUGGCUCACCAAGGCG